UUUUAAUGCAAUAUCUACAUUGCCCAUUAUCAGCAACCAUUUAUCCAAUGUUCUAAAGGCACACUCUGUUUACUAAUCUAAUAUCAUUUCUCUGUUUCAGAAGCAUCCAUUUCCUGUUGUUACCAGCGCCAUGCCAUGUGCUUUCUGCAGCUCAGAAUGAGAUUGGCUGGGACUUAAUGGCACGCUACUGGGAAAGUGAUUACUCACUCAUGAGUGAAAUAGUGAUUUCGUAUACUGUGAAAUGCCAGUAUUAAAUAAAUGAUGGGUUUGUAAA
Long non-coding RNA from Alosa sapidissima (American shad), 274 nucleotides. RefSeq lists it as uncharacterized. NCBI's taxonomy places the organism in Eukaryota, Metazoa, Chordata, Actinopteri, Clupeiformes, Clupeidae. The record is from RefSeq and is a predicted model, not a curated record. The transcript has 2 exons.